RNAcentral lists this ribosomal RNA (909 nucleotides) under Mariannaea superimposita. RNAcentral describes it as "partial large subunit ribosomal RNA". It matches the Rfam family "Eukaryotic large subunit ribosomal RNA", at positions 87 to 1030 of the family's 3401-position model. Lineage: Eukaryota; Fungi; Ascomycota; Sordariomycetes; Hypocreales; Nectriaceae. The record is from RNAcentral.
CGGCGAGUGAAGCGGCAACAGCUCAAAUUUGAAAUCUGGCCCUCGGGUCCGAGUUGUAAUUUGUAGAGGAUGCUUUUGGUGCGGUGCCUUCCGAGUUCCCUGGAACGGGACGCCAUAGAGGGUGAGAGCCCCGUCUGGUUGGACGCCAAUCCUCUGUAAAGCUCCUUCGACGAGUCGAGUAGUUUGGGAAUGCUGCUCUAAAUGGGAGGUAUAUGUCUUCUAAAGCUAAAUAUUGGCCAGAGACCGAUAGCGCACAAGUAGAGUGAUCGAAAGAUGAAAAGCACUUUGAAAAGAGAGUUAAAAAGUACGUGAAAUUGUUGAAAGGGAAGCGCUCAUGACCAGACUUGGGCUUGGUAGAUCAACCUGGGUUCUCCCCUGGUGCACUCUUCCUCGUUCAGGCCAGCAUCAGUUCGCUGCGGGGGAUAAAGGUUUCGGGAAUGUGGCUCCCUCGGGAGUGUUAUAGCCCGUUGCGUAAUACCCUGCGGUGGACUGAGGUUCGCGUUCUGCAAGGAUGCUGGCGUAAUGGUCAUCAGUGACCCGUCUUGAAACACGGACCAAGGAGUCGUCUUCGUAUGCGAGUGUUCGGGUGUUAAACCCCUACGCGUAAUGAAAGUGAACGCAGGUGAGAGCUUCGGCGCAUCAUCGACCGAUCCUGAUGUUCUCGGAUGGAUUUGAGUAAGAGCAUACGGGGCCGGACCCGAAAGAAGGUGAACUAUGCCUGUAUAGGGUGAAGCCAGAGGAAACUCUGGUGGAGGCUCGCAGCGGUUCUGACGUGCAAAUCGAUCGUCAAAUAUGGGCAUGGGGGCGAAAGACUAAUCGAACCUUCUAGUAGCUGGUUUCCGCCGAAGUUCCCUCAGGAUAGCAGUGUUGAACUCAGUUUUAUGAGGUAAAGCGAAUGAUUAGGGACUC